RNAcentral lists this ribosomal RNA (305 nucleotides) under uncultured bacterium. Its description in RNAcentral is "bacterial SSU rRNA". It matches the Rfam family "Bacterial small subunit ribosomal RNA", at positions 210 to 507 of the family's 1533-position model. The record is from RNAcentral.
GCCUUGCGUCGAUGGAGCGGCCGAUGCCGGAUUAGCUAGUUGGUGAGGUAAAGGCUCACCAAGGCGACGAUCCGUAGCUGGUCUGAGAGGACGACCAGCCACACUGGGACUGAGACACGGCCCAGACUCCUACGGGAGGCAGCAGUGGGGAAUCUUGGACAAUGGGCGAAAGCCUGAUCCAGCAAUGCCGCGUGUGGGAAGAAGGCCUUCGGGUUGUAAACCACUUUUGGCGGGAAAGAAAUGGUCUGUGCUAAUACCACGGAUUGAUGACGGUACCCGCAGAAUAAGCACCGGCUAACUACGUG